GUUUGUACUUGGUCUGGACAUUGUAAUGACCGUGGAACUUGCGUUCCAAUAUCUACCAAUUCCGACUACUCGUGCAGCAACUGCGCUUCUGGUUGGAAAGGAAAAAGUUGCCAUCUUGUUGAUUGUGGCAGUGGACAAUACUGCGCCAACGAUGGUGUUUGUGAGGAAAAUGGAACGGACUACACGUGUGUGUGCAAGGAUGGCUGGUCCGGAAAAGAUUGUGAACUCGUCGUCUGUUCUUGGUACGGACACUGUAACUACCGUGGAACGUGUUCACCAACAUCUACUUCAACCGACUACGUGUGUAACAAUUGCGUUUCGGGAUGGAAAGGGAAAAGUUGUCAUCUUGUUGACUGCAGCAGUGGACACUAUUGCGCAAAUGGCGGUGUUUGUGUGGAAAAUGGAAUAGAAUACACAUGUUUAUGCAAGGAUGGGUGGAGCGGAAAGGACUGCGAACUCGUUGUCUGUAACUGGUCAGGACACUGCAACAGCCG
Long non-coding RNA from Dreissena polymorpha, 494 nucleotides. RefSeq lists it as uncharacterized. The record is from RefSeq and is a predicted model, not a curated record. Lineage: Eukaryota; Metazoa; Mollusca; Bivalvia; Myida; Dreissenidae. The transcript is spliced from 5 exons.